Molecule: unclassified non-coding RNA, 79 nt
Filed under: Kaistella treverensis
Lineage: Bacteria; Pseudomonadati; Bacteroidota; Flavobacteriia; Flavobacteriales; Weeksellaceae
Description: Chryseobacterium treverense Flavo-1 RNA
Source: RNAcentral
CUCGCGCCCCGGCUUGAGUGGAGCUCUUUUUGCGGAACGCAGUGGAGCAAAAAAGCGGGAACGGAAGACGGAAAUAGGC